UGAGGAAUAUUGGUCAAUGGGCGAGAGCCUGAACCAGCCAAGUCGCGUGAGGGAAGAAUGGUCUAUGGCCUGUAAACCUCUUUUGUCAGGGAAGAAUAAGGAUGACGAGUCAUUCGAUGCCAGUACUUGACGAAUAAGCAUCGGCUAACUCCAGCCAGCAGCCGCGGUAAUACGGAGGAUGCGAGCGUUAUCCGGAUUUAUUGGGUUUAAAGGGUGCGUAGGCGGACUGGUAAGUCAGCGGUAAAAAUGCGGUGCUCAACGCCGUAGUGCCGUUGAAACUGCCGGUCUUGAGUGAGCGAGAAGUAUGCGGAAUGCGUGGUGUAGCGGUGAAAUGCAUAGAUAUCACGCAGAACUCCGAUUGCGAAGGCAGCAUACCGGCGCUCAACUGACGCUGAGGCACGAAAGCGUGGGGAUCGAACAGGAUUAGAUACC
RNAcentral lists this ribosomal RNA (432 nucleotides) under uncultured bacterium. RNAcentral's name for it is "bacterial SSU rRNA". It matches the Rfam family "Bacterial small subunit ribosomal RNA", at positions 355 to 786 of the family's 1533-position model. The record is from RNAcentral.